RNAcentral lists this ribosomal RNA (434 nucleotides) under uncultured bacterium. RNAcentral describes it as "partial 16S ribosomal RNA". It matches the Rfam family "Bacterial small subunit ribosomal RNA", at positions 28 to 506 of the family's 1533-position model. The record is from RNAcentral.
AGCGAACGCUGGCGGCAGGCUUAACACAUGCAAGUCGAGCGGGCACUUUCGGGUGUCAGCGGCGGACGGGUGAGUAACGCGUGGGAACGUGCCCUCUGGUUCGGAAUAACUCAGGGAAACUUGAGCUAAUACCGGAUACGCCCUUUUGGGGAAAGGCUUGCUGCCGGGGGAUCGGCCCGCGUCUGAUUAGCUAGUUGGUGAGGUAACGGCUCACCAAGGCGACGAUCAGUAGCUGGUCUGAGAGGAUGAUCAGCCACACUGGGACUGAGACACGGCCCAGACUCCUGCGGGGGGCGGGAGGGGGGAAUUUUGGAAAAUGGGCGCAAGCCUGACCCAGCCAGGCCGGGUGAGUGAUGAAGGCUUUAGGGUUGUAAAGCUCUUUUACCCGGGACGAUAAUGCGGGUACCGGGGGAAAAAGCCCCGGCUAACUUCGU